Tyto alba (common barn owl) is the source of this 5440-nucleotide long non-coding RNA. RefSeq lists it as uncharacterized. The transcript is spliced from 2 exons. The record is from RefSeq and is a predicted model, not a curated record. NCBI's taxonomy places the organism in Eukaryota, Metazoa, Chordata, Aves, Strigiformes, Tytonidae.
UAAAAGCAUAAUUAAAAGGAAAAGCAACCAAUCGUGAGCUCUGCACCAACUUCAAAGGAUGAGGAAAUAAACCCUAUUCUCCUAGGACAAAAAUUUACAUAACAAUUUCUGGAUAUCCCCAAAUUUAACAGUUAAUGCAGAAUCUUUUCUGACCAACAAGAAUUUUCAGAGGUUCAAGCCAGAUGUCUACUAUAGCCGCACAAGCAGCUGAAUAAAGGGUAAAUAUGAAGAGAAGGUUCAACUAAACCAUAUCUCGAUGAAAAUAGUGUGGUUCCAGCCACCUCUGAAGACUCAAGUCUCCAACUAGUAAAUGAAGGCCCAGAUUGGUAUGUAAAUACAGGAAUUAUUUGCUUAUAAUACACAGGUAGCUGACAAGAAUAAUUUUAUUACGGCUUAAAUUAUGUUUUUACAGCAGACAUUUAUCAACAGUCCAAUUAUCUGAAUACUAUGUCAGGAAAAAUGAAACAAAAAAGCAAAACAGAAACCAAAAACAACCCAACAAAAUAAACUUUCAGAGGAAGCAAAGACAACAUGGCAAGAUGAUUAGGAAAGUACUAAUUUGCAGGAAAUAUUUUAUCAACAAAAAGAGCAGUGACAUUAGAAGGAGCAAGAACCUCAUUAGUCACUAAGGAAAAGUUUUGCACAAAAAGACAAAGCCUCCACAACACUACAGAAUGAGGUGCAAUGAGGGUGGCCCCAGGUCUUUCACCAUUCAGGUUGUUUCCUGUACCAUAUGGUCAAACAUAAUAAUCUUCUUAACUGACUCUAUUAAGAGAAGAGCUUAGAAAAGUAGAGAGCUGUCUGGCCUUAUACAGAGAGUAGACUCCAGGUUCCCUCUCCAGAUACCUCCCCUCCAUAAGAGAGUUUCAGUAAUAAAAUAAUUCUUUAGUUUAUUUGUAGCAAAGCCUGAUCCUUAUAAUUUUGCAUACAGACACAGACAUGUAAAACCUACUCAUUAUGUGUGACUCCUGCAAGUAGUAAGGAGAAGGGAGAGAUAAUUAUUAUGGUUCCUUUAUUUUAACCAUUGAAAAUUCUUAGGUACCGUUAAGCAGUAAAACAUGGAGAAAGAGAUUUAAAGAAAUACUAACCAUAGAAUAAUACCACAAAUCUUUAUUCUUGGCAACUGUUCCAUAUGAAUGAUAUGCCCAUAUUUCCACACAAGAUACCUCAGAGCACUUCUGCUCUAUGGUAAGGAAAAGGGAGACACUGCUCUGUGAUUCUUGCCUUGUGGCAAGAUGUGGUUUUGUCCCUCAGAACAAGAUCAGUUUGCCCCAAUUCUCAUGCAGAUGUUGGAAACUGAACUGAUGAGCACUGGGAAAUAGACAUUUUAUAAAAUGAAAGAGCUACAAUAUCUUAGAGUUAUUCCCAGAAGGUCAAAGCCUGCCUAGAUUUCAAACAUGCCCCUCUACAAAUGCUUUAAGACAGCUGAAGGUCCUCAUUCAACUUUCUUUCAUCUAUCCAAGAAGGCAGAGGUCACCCUUCUUCCAAAUUUUAGUUCAAACUGUAAAGACCAACUCAAUGUUGUGUGCAGCCAGACUCUGUCCUUGAAAACAGAGACAGAGCCAGUUUACCUCCUGAAGGGCUUGGCAGUUGAGGAUUUUUAUUCCUUACUUCAUGUACUAACUUGUAAGCAACUAGCCAAAAGAUGAGAUUGAGUAAUGUCUGCAGGCUGUGAUGUUCUGGCAUUCAAAACAAAUCUGACAGAUUUCAGACAGCUUCAAGGUCAGGAGUUCUGACUUUAAAAGGGCUGAGUUCUAAAAGUUCUACUGAAGCUUAAUCGAGAAUUUUGGUUUUGUCUAUUUUAGGUAUCAUAGGAUGUAAUCUCAUGAAAGUAUUCAUGCUAAAAACACCCAGGCAAAUUCACAUAUAUAAAAAUUAGAUAAACUCUAUAUGGUCUGAAUUAGCAAUCUGUUUAUCUGUAUUCAUCUACAGUCAUCAUGCUGACUACAGCAUUUGACAGUCUGAAUAUAAAAGUUAAUAAUCUGAAAUUGUUAUAGUCCAGAAAAAAGUCACAGGCAAGGAUUUUAUAUCAGCCUGCAAUGACAGAGAAAAGCCAAAACAGGUACACCAAUUGUUGACUAGAUUUUUUUAAAAAUUACAAGGGAAUGAGAAAUAGCAUGCAUAAUUGACUCAAGAAUCUCCAACAGCCUUUCUGGUUUUUCCACUGAAAUAAAAUAGAAGUUCUAAUUCACUCCUCUUUCCUAUGUGACAAGGGUUCUAACAGAUUUAAAAUAUAAUGCAAUCACUGUGGCUAAAAUUAUGUUCAAAAUGGAUGCGUCUAUUCAGUUGAAAGUUCUAUAUUUAAGUCUAAUGUGUUCUAUGAGCAGUACAUUGGGAAUAUAUGACAACAAAUUUAUAAGUCUCUGUAUUAGCUUAUUCAUUUUCAUGUUAACACCAUGUACACAGCAGAAUUACAAUUCCAAAAUCACUUGGAAUUUAAUAAAUAAUAGCUAUUAAUAUCAUUGCCCUCAAAGUACAUGGAAUUCUUGUUAUGAUUCUUAUAUAAUUAAUGCAGUCUGAUAUGGUGAAAGUGUAAAAAUGUCAAAUCCAAUGUAUAAACAAUAUUGUGCCCUCAAGUUAGUCAGCAGCUCAAACACAUGUUUUGGAACAUGACUGGUCUGAGCCUACACAUUUCUGUUUUUAGUAUGUGUGAUUCUAUCAAAUAUGUUCAAAGUUAAAUUUCUGGUUACGUUCUGUACUAGUAGCUAUAAAAACUAAUGACUGUACUGCAGGCUGGAAUAUUUGUGUCGUUUCUACCAGGAUAAAUCAAGAGUAAUUUCACCAUGGUGCCUAAGUACCUUCUCACUGAAAUAUCAACUAGUAAAUUUUUAAGUAACAGACAAAUCCAAAGCAAGACUUGAUGGCUGGAAGGCACAUGGCAUUUAUACUUUAGCUAUUUUAGUAAUGAUAUUCAUUAACUAGUGUAACAAAUGACCAAAGAAUAUGACAAAUAUACCUUUCUGAAAUGUCUUCCUAUUAAGCACAGACUGCUUUAUACAGGUGUCAAAAGGUAAAACUCCACAAUGCUAAGCAGACAGAGUCCUAAACUGACCCCUCCUCAUUUGAAAACUCUCCAGUCAGAGGACUGACGCUUCGUGAAUCCACAUUUAAUGAAGAAACACCGGGAUGCACGGCACGUGCCUGCAGGACAGCUGUGUGCGUGUGAUCCCCAAGGCAAGAAUACGUCCAGGUGGCUCCUGAGGACACAAACUCUUUCUUUCCCACGCCAGUCAGGACUGCCUAACAGCAAAAGGCUUCAUCAGCCCAGACUGCUAGUUCAGGUUUCUCACCAUGGUCCAGAUAUGGCAUUAUCGAAUGACUGACUAACGGUGAAAUGUUAAGUGAUGUAUUUUCAGGUAUGUAGCAAAUCAAUAAUAUCUAUGUCUUUAAAACAUAUUUUUAUACAUGCAUGUAUAUAUUUAAAGCUAUACCACAGACUCUUUUUUAUUAAUUUCAAAUGUAUAAUGUAACUUUAAUGAAGCAUGCAUUUUUCUCCAUGAUUUAUCAAUAGUUAAAGCAGCAAGGAGAAAUAAAUUUAUUUUAGGGAUAAAACAUUGAAAAAUGUGUUCAUCUAAUGGAUACCAUUAAAAUAAUAGAGUCAUAGAAUCUUUUCAUUUGGAAAAGAUCCUUAACAUCAUCAAGUCCAGGAAUAUUCUUUCUUCUUUCAUGAAGACAGGUUUAUGUUAAGGGAGUUUCCGGACUGUCAAAAGUGACCAACUUGUUUUCAAAUGAGGAAGGCUUGAAACCAAAGGUCACCAAAAUCAUUCAUCCACUUAGUGGCAUCCUUUUGGGCUAGCAGGCUGGGCGUAUAGAGACAUCCAAGAGCAACAGAAGAUAUUGUCUUUAAUACUUUGGCUACUAGCUUCCCUUUUCCCACUGCUGCAGAUUCAGAUUAGGCACUACCCUCUAUGCCCACAGACCCUCAGCAUCAACAAAUGACACAUGCAGCACGGGAUCCAUGCUUGAACUACUGCAAUUCAGGUAGAGUGCUACAGGCUGGUUAAUCUCCAUUUUGACAACACAUCUGCAAAUGUUAGCUUGUCCCUUUGGGCCAUUUCAUUUGUUAAUUUAGUUUUGAUGCGGGUGGACAGAUGAGCAUUUGAUAUAAGUAACAGCUUUGAGCCAUGAAAUUCAGAUCUAGACUUCUCAAGGUGUAGAAAAUUGGUGGUAAGAUUCACUUUCUGAUAUAAACAUGUCUUUAAAUAUAAACUAUUCAGACUGGAUCUAUGAUUUUUCCAAGAUGCCAGAGUUCAAUACUUUCUGACCAGGUUCUUCUAGGUAUUCCAUGUGUGGAGGGUGUAAUGUUUAAUAUCACAUUUACCUAUUUGAUUGUAUCUGAUGUUACACAGGAUUUUUGAUUUAGCAGUGUGGUACUUCAAUAUACUGAAAUCACAAUAAAAGUGUAAGUUAGCAAAAUACAGCAGUUGCAAUACACAGUUCAAUCACAGUACCAACAUGAACCCUGUUACCAGUCUCUAUAAUAUGCUCACCAUCACAACACUAAGUGUCCCCAGGAAGGAGUACAUGGGGACAUGUAUUAAAGCAGCUCAAGUCCAUUUCUCUCUUCAAAAUGCUUUUGUUUAGUUUUAUACUCUGUUGGACUGAUCCAUAUAUACAUGUACACCACCAGUUGAGCCACUCAACUGUGAUGCAGUCAUUUGAUCCACUCAACUGACAUAGCUGUUUAUCUAAAAUAAAGGCCACCCUCUGGUCCCCUUUGUGUUGAGAUAAAGUCAGGUUAAUUUGCAAAGCCAUGGUGAGUCACACCCUACAUUAUUCUGAGGUUUAUGGACACAUCGCCCUCACCCAUCUCCUCUCAGGCUUCCUCCAUUGCAGGGGUUUCUUGAUCAAUCACACAAGACAAGUCUCUGAUACUCAACUUGCAAUGUUAAGCUUGACAGUCCUUCCAAAUAGGUGACAGAUUUUAGAUGCACACCAAUGUAUUACAGCACACUGCCAGAAAGCCUAGCCUACCUGCACAGUAUAUAAAUCUGUAAGGAACAAAACAGUGCUUUUAAAUAAUGGGUGGUACUUAUUCAAGAGUGACUGUAAACAUCAACUUUUAUUUGUCUACAGAAGACCGCUAUCAAUAAUUGCUGUAUUUUACAGACCUACAGUACUCUCUAAAGCUCUGCAAUUCAGCAUCUCAUUCAUCUCAGAUGGGUGUCAGGAGAGCUUUCAAAGGUCUGAAAUGCCCCUCUGCAAAUGUUGAUACUUACUUGUCCAGAUGCACAGAUGGCCAUUUACUGAAACCAAAUUAUUAUGUACAUUUUCAUUAAUUUUUGUGAUGUUGUUAGGGAAAAUUGUAGCAUUUUCUAAUGGACUGGAUGAUCACCCCUUGGGGCAAACCUCUUUGCCUUUCUGCAGUAAUUAAAAGCAAUAGAGUUUCCAAACCUGCCCACAGUGAUUAUUUAAAAAAAAAAAAUAAAAUUAAAAAAUA